GGGUGUGAGAGUGAUCAGGCUGCAGCAUCUGUCAUUCCAUUGAUUGCCAACCUGGCUUCAUUAGUACUGGAUGGCUAGGCUAGGGUCUCCUUUCUUCCUUACCUUUCCACGUACAUCUCUUCUUAAGUUGCAUGCUCUGUCAAAGAAGGCAUGCUUCUCUAAUGGGGUGGACCAUUCUUCAGAGAAUUUACGUACUUUUAUCAGGAAACAACCCAACUUG
Molecule: small nuclear RNA, 220 nt
Filed under: Sus scrofa (pig)
Lineage: Eukaryota; Metazoa; Chordata; Mammalia; Artiodactyla; Suidae
Description: 7SK RNA (ENSSSCG00070007433.1)
Rfam family: 7SK RNA (bases 1-187)
About the family: 7SK was discovered as an abundant small nuclear RNA in the mid-70s but a possible function has only recently been suggested. Two independent studies have found that 7SK RNA binds the CDK9/cyclin T complex (known as elongation factor P-TEFb).
Source: RNAcentral